GACUCGCUUCAAAUGCACUUAAGUCACCAUAAAUUCAAGAGAGUAUUUUUCUUUUUUUUUCUUUAAUGAUUUAUUUAUUAUUAUAAAUAAGUACACUGCAGCUGUCUUUAGACACACCAGAAGAGGGCAUCAGAUCUCACUACGGGUGGUUGUGAGCCACCAUGUGGUUGCUGGGAUUUGAACUCAGGACCUUUGGAAGAGCAGUCAGUACUCUUACCCGCUAAGCAUCUCGCCAGCCCAAGAGUAUUUUUCUGAGUGCUACAAUAUGGUUGAUGGUGAUUUUCUCUCCACGGUUUAAAUGUCUUUCCAUGCUCUCUUGGCUUUGGGAUCACUGACCAGACACAGAUAGAAUUCUGUUACUUGGGUGUUUUCACAUUGUUCUUUAUCCACAUUCAGUAUUAAUUUUACUUUUCCUGUUUGACCUCUUGAUAUUAAAGGACCACAAGCCAGCUAUUCAUUAUUCUUCAAAGAGAAAAUCAAAGAAGAGACCCAGAAAGAAAUGGCUGGUUCUCCAUUAAUCAUGUCACAGGUCAGUGGCCAUGUCUACUCUAUUUCUAAAAAUGUUAUAGUCUGAUACAUUGCAAGCCUUUAAUUUUCUGCUUCUGAAAAUUUUUAAAUUUUUGUUCUGAAAAUUGUUACAAAUGGAUAAAGAAAAUCACAUUGCAAUUCACCGAACUCAGAGACUCGUCAAGUCAAUGCACUUUUUUGCAGUUACAGUAUUCUUUGGUAACAGAAGCUCUGGAGCCUCAGAUGUGAUUUUAUGUUUUCACAAUCAAAUAUGUCUUUAUGAACUGAUCCACCACCAAAAAACAAAAUACCUGUGUCAGAAUUAGAACUAGAAAAUUCUAUAUCUUUUUAUGUCCUUUUUAUCCUUUCUCAUAACUGGUGACUGUUACCUGCACUCAGUACUAACUCAAUCCCAUAUUUAACCUUUCAAGUUCUCUUUUCUCUGUGUUCUACAGUACCCACAUGUGCAUUGUUUCCAUCCAUACAUAUCAGAAGUGGAAAUUCUGGUUUCUUUGGAAACUCAGUUAUAUCAUAUGAUGUUUUGCUGAUGCAGAUGGGUGAAAGGUUGUUUUACAGAAGCAGACACACAUGAAAGAAGGUUGAAGCAGACAUAUUAAAGAAUGCUGAAGCAGACAUUAAAAAGAAUGUUUUACUUAAGCACAUAGGUGAGAGGAUAUUUUACUGAAGCAGACACUAAGGAUGUUUUCCUAAAGCAGACACAGGAAGCCAGGCGGUAGUGGUGCACGCCUUUAAACCCAGCGCUUGGGAGGCACAGGCAGGUGGAUUUCUGAGUUUGAGGCCAACCUGGUCUACAGAGUGAGUUCCAGGACAGCCAGGACUACACAGAGAAACCCUAUCUCAAAAACACCAUAAUAAUAAUAAUAAUAAUAAUAAUAAUAAUAAUAAUAAAAGCAGACACAGGUGAGAGAAUGUCUUGGUGAAGCAGAUGCAUGAGAGGAUGUGUGAUGUUUAGAAAGAAUAUAAAUAUGACCCCACAGACAGUGAGAGGAGGCUCUGGCCUUGGUUUGCUUUACUCAGCCUCACUGGUCUUUGCUGAUGAUGUUCCUAUAUUGGUUUGCCUUGUAUCACAUUGCUUAUCUAUGUUCAUUAUGACUUUGUAGAGAAUAACUGGCCAAACAACUUGUGAUAUUCCAACAGCUUCUUGUGGCAUCCGUGGUCUCAGGCCAAUUGUCAGAGAUUAGCAGAGCCUUGCUGUUUCUUCUGUAUUUAACUGCAGUUGCUGAUUUGUGAGUGGUGCUUGUGAGGGGACUGGACAGCUGCUGCUGAUUAUUGUUGGUGUUUUGCUAGUGGACUGGACUGCUGACAAUGAAGAUUGGAAUAGCCCCAAAGAACUAUUUCUAAACAUGUCCACAACCCCUGCUUUCUAUUAAUCUUUCUUGUUUGUUUCCUCUGGUGGCUAGUGUGCUAGAAGGGAGUUUGAAGCAUUUAAUAACCCUUAUUAAAGUAAGUUUUGAAAAAUUGAAGCCUAUACAUAUUAUAAGCUAGAUUCUGCCUAUGAGGAAAAUGUCAUCUCUUCUUUCUUACCAGUAUGUCCUCACUUAAUAUUAUACAUUCUGAGUCCAUCUGUUUCUUUUCUUGCAAAUUAUUACAUUUUUCUCUUCAUCUGAAUAGUAUUUCAUUUUAUAUGUAUAACAUUUUCAUUAUCCAUUUAUCUGUUGACAAUUAGGUUUAUUCCAAUACUUUUCUAUGGUAAGCAGCAACCCAUAGGUAUAGAAAUAUCUCUUUUGUGUGGGGUAGAAUUUUCCAGUAUGCUACCAAGAAGGAAAGAGCUGGAUUAUAGAUUAGUUGUAGCUUUAAUUUUUUAAAUGAUCUCUAAACUGAUUUUUAUAAUGGCAUACACACACACACACACACACCAAUAUGAGUAGGGCUUCCUUUUUCUCCACAUUCUCACUAACAUUUGUUGUCAGAGUAGAUGACAGGCAGCCCUUCUGCCUGGGGUGAGCCACUAUUUCAGAGUGGUUUUAAUUUUAUUCCCUUCAUAGCAUUUUUGGAAUCCUAAACACCUUCUCCAUGUUUGUUGGUAAUUAGUGUUCCUAUCCAUUCAAAGUGUCUAUUUAGUAUAUUUGCCUAUUUGAUCAUUGGCAGUUUUAUUUUCUUGGAGUUUAUCUCUGUAUUCUUUGUAAAUUCUAGAUAUAAGCACCUGUCCAUGGGUUGGGGAUUUAGCUCAGUGGUAGAGUGCUUGCCUAGGAAACGUAAGGCCUCAGCUCUGGAGG
This 2744-nucleotide long non-coding RNA is filed under the name Mus musculus (house mouse). Its description in RNAcentral is "long non-coding RNA chr17:21499773-21502517". Lineage: Eukaryota; Metazoa; Chordata; Mammalia; Rodentia; Muridae. The record is from RNAcentral.